This 4195-nucleotide long non-coding RNA is filed under the name Mus musculus (house mouse). RNAcentral's name for it is "long non-coding RNA chr17:70852764-70856959". Lineage: Eukaryota; Metazoa; Chordata; Mammalia; Rodentia; Muridae. The record is from RNAcentral.
ACACGCGGGCAUCAGCGCAGGAGGCGGUUGCACGACAGUGUCCAGGGAGAACCCAACGGCUGGCAAGCCCCCUCUGCAAACCGCCCUGGCGCAGCGCUUUCCGGGACCCGGCAGGGGAUGACUCAGCUGCUGCGCCCCGGUGCGGGACUCAUGUGGUGCGGGAGGGGGCCACGGAGGGCCCAGCCGCCGGUUGAGGGCCGCCUCGCUCUGGGUUUUUGGUGUUUGUGGCUGGGAUUGGUGGCUCACAUCCGCCGGGGACUCGGGAGAGGAGGGAGAACAGACUCGGGGAGGAGGAGCUGGACCGAGUGAGUGGCAGGAGCCGGGUCCGGACCCGGCGGUGACUGCCUUGUCAUUUUGUUUGCUAACUUGGACAGCGGCUUCAGGGUCCACCCCACGGAACCCGCCUCGGGUCCGCUAAGCCCAACCCACGGCGGCUCGAGGCCAGAGCGUUCUUUCCCGGCGGUUACCCGCGGCCACGCGGUGGCUCUCAUUAUGUACACAAAGGUAGCUUUUCUUUUCUCCCAAGUCAGCCUGGCUAAUGAAUGCGAUUCUCCGGCCGCACUGAUGGAAACCGGGUUUACAAGGUUUGAAAACAAACUUUACGGGGCGAGCGGGAGCAGAGAGAGAGAGUAGAAGCCUCUUUCAAACUAGGACGGGAGGAAAACGCAGAAUUAAAAACUCACCGUGACGCGAAGGCCAGCUGAACUCCGCCAGUGCACACCUUCUGCUCGCAUAAAUCUUUUCGAGGCAGUUAAGAAGUCGGAGCGCGCUGGCGGAAUUCUGAGAUCAGCUGAAGCCCUACGGUGCCCCUCCCCCACCCCCUCCCCCACCCUUAAGGCUGGAGCCAAGCUCGGUAGCAGCCUUGCGUUCCUGCAGGACUGGUGCACCCGGGCUUUACAACUCCAGAAAAGGGAAACGGCCCCCCAGCGCGAGUUCAUAACAUCCGCAAUAUUUUCUAUCCGCUGUCUGCGCGGCGGAAAAACAAGGUUCAGUUCUGGCUGUGUCAGGGCGUCUCCGUGUAACUGAUUCAAGCGACUUCGGGUUAGUUGUCGUUGCCACGUGUUACUUUACUGAACUCUUAUGCCUCAUAAUCAAAUUAUCUAAGUUGUCCUGUUUUCGUGUGUGUGUGUGUGUGUGUGUGUGUGUGUGUGGUGUUUUGUUUUGUUGGUUUUCUUUGCGAUGUCUUAAGGUAAGCAGAGCUGUUUAAAAGGUAAACUUACUUUGUGGUCUCGAAUGGCACAAACUUGGGAAGGCUGAGAGAAGAGCCCGGUGGCAAUAAGUGUAGUUAGUUAUUAUUAUUGGCUCCAGGUCUGUCAAAGGCCUGAGGGGAGGUGUUUGUUUCAUCUGGACAAUCGAUUAGGUAUGAUUCCUGUCAGGUGCCGGGCCUGGUGGGCCUCACCCAGUCAUUGGAUCUCUUUCCCUGGAAGGCCAGCUAGUGCAGAUAUUUAUAAAAUAUGCAGGCUGCUGGGCUUCCAACACUGCACGAGGGACCUGUAAUCAGCUUGUCAUCUCAGCUCUGAGGAGCUCUGGCUGCUCAAGGUGAGAGCUAACCAUUGUCUUCACAAGGGCUGGUCCCGGCCAUCUUGUGGUGAGUUUAUCAACAUUCCCUUGUUCAGUUUUAAGUAGCUGGCACUACUGAUCACUUUCUCCACGUCAACACAGCCCCCUACCCUUUGUUUUGUUUUGAAGUGGAAGUCACUUUUCUUUCCCUAGGUGAUGUGGGCUGAAGUUCCCUGGAAAAGACACACUGAGGCUGAUCUACCCGGUGAUUGCCUGAUUAGGGCCUCCUGGUUGGGGUGAGUUGGAAUGAUACAGAUCCAGAGGCAGAUCAUCCUGAUCUAUCGAUCUAUCGAAAGUCUCCCUCCUAGCCAUUUAUUACCUGUCUAUCUGGCCUACCCUUUUUUUGACUCUCAAUUAAAAAUCUUGAGACCUCAUCCAUGUAUUAUUUGGUAAAUGCGUUCAUUUUUAGCUUAGUUUAUGAUUAACAGUUCAUAUGCUAACUUCCAUGGUGUGGGACAUAGACAUAACAGUUCAUAUGAUAACUUCCAUGGUGGGACAUGUCUGGAGUCUACCCAAAUCUGGGUUCCCUGGGCCACAAUCACUUUCAUAUUUGGCUCAGGAUAAAUGAUCUCUUACUGUCUUUGGGAUGAGAGCUGUGGUUUUUGUUUGACAAUGGCCUUAUUGAACUCAGUCUUUAUCCCCUUUAUUUUUUUCUUUCUUUCUUUCUUUCUUUCUUCCUUUCUUUUUUUUUUUUUUUGAUUUUUCGAGACAGGGUUUCUCGGUGUAGCCCUGGCUAACCUGGAACUCACUCUGUAGACCAGGCUGGCCUCGAAUUCAGAAAUCCACCUGCCUCUGCCUCCCGAGUGCUGGGAUUAAAGGCGUGCGCCACCACUGCCCAGCUCCCUUUAUUUUCAAUAUCUUGUAUCUUCAUGUAUGUGCCUCAGACUUUCUGAAACAUUUAAAUGCUCCCAUUUAAUAUCCAAAUUAGUCAUAUACGCUAUAUUUUUCUUAAAGUCAACAUAACUUGAACACAUUCAAAUGUGCCAUAGCUAAACAGCACAAAGCAAGAUGUUGGGCACAGACUACCUGGCUCUCAGGGAAUCUGUCAUAGAAGGUCACACUGAUAAUGAAGGCAGAGAUUGGCCUUAGACAUCAGAGACACCAAGAUCCAGAUAUCGCCAAGGUAACCUCCAAAUGUCCUUCCUUAGUUAAAAUCCCGCUCUUUCCUAUAGAGUCUUUCUAACCCUGAAGCUGCUGGCUUCCUUUUGGUCUAUCUCUUAGAUGAAAAUGAGUUGCACCUAAUUCUUAGAUUUUUUUUUAAAAGAUUUAUUUAUUUAUUAUAUGUAAGUACACUGUAGCUGUCUUCAGACACACCAGAAGAGGGAGUCAUAUCAUGUUACGGAUGGUUGUGAGCCACCAUGUGGUUUCUGGGAUUUGAACUCAGGAACUUCGGAAGAGCAGUCAGUGCUCUUAACCACCGAGCUAUCUCACCAGCCCCUAGAUUUAUUUUUUAAUUAUGUGCAUGUGUGUGCACAAGCACACAUGAGUGCAGGUUCACUUUGGAGGCCAGAAGAAGGUUUUGCCCAGGCUGGCUGGAGGGAUAGCAGGCUCUUGUGGAGAACUGGACUUGAUUUCUCUAGAAGAGCAGGAUGUGCUCGCACCCGCUGAGCAUCUCUCCAGCCCUGCAUUUAUUUUUUUUCUCUUAAGAGUUCUAUGUUUAAGAAAAUCAGCUUGUGUGUACAUCUGACAUUCUCAUUUCUUCUUGUCCGUUCAUAAUCAUAGCCACAUUUUACUUUUUAAAUUUUUAUAUGUGUGUGCGUAUGUGUGCAUGAGAGAGAGACACACACAGAGAAACAGACAAGGAGCAUGGAAAAAAAUAUAUAUAGGUGACCUUGUUGAAAAGCAUUUUGUUUGUUUAUUUUCUCAAAUGCAAGGAAACUAGAGUAAAUAGUUAACAGCACACAGAAGACAUUAGUUCCAGAAGAGACGGUGCAGCUAUAAGAAAGAACAGCCUGGCAUUAAGAAGUGGGACACGGGCUGGAGAGAUGACACUGCUUCCAGGAGACCUGGGUUCAGUACUUAGCACCUAUAUCAGAAGGCUCAAAACCAUCUACUCAAGAGCCCAGGUCCAUGGGAUCUGUGCCCUCUUGCUGGCCUCCUUGGACAGCCACAGGCACGUGUAUACACAUCAGAGAGAGACAGAAUAAAUAGUAGUUUUUAAGGUUUGACAAAUGAAUCUACAGGUUAGAAAUUUACAACUAAAUAAGGAAUCCAAAUCACUAACAAACAUGGGGAAAGACACAGGAAUUUGCUGCUGUUAUUACAGGGUAGAGGAAAUCACACUGAUUCAUCAAUUAACAAUGGUAAUACAUUCAGAAAUGUGUUGUUAGGUGAUUUUAUUAUGUAGACAUCAUGCAAUGUCCUUAUCUAAAAUGGGUAUGAUAUCAUUAGGUCACUUUAUUUAUUUAUUUAAGAACAGAUUUCCCUAUGUACCCCUAGCUGGUCUAGAACUCACUACAUAGUGAGCUGGCCUGAACCCCACAGAAAUAUUCUGCUUCUGUCUUCUCAGAUGCUGGGAAUAAGAUGUGUGCCACAACUGGCAAGGCCAUUCAGUCUUACGAAAUCAUCAUUAUAUGUGUGCUACACCAUUGACUAUAGACUAUAUGGCCAAUGACUGUUUGCACACACAGACACU